GAUGAACGCUGGCGGCGUGCCUAAUACAUGCAAGUCGAGCGAACGGACGAGAAGCUUGCUUCUCUGAUGUUAGCGGCGGACGGGUGAGUAACACGUGGAUAACCUACCUAUAAGACUGGGAUAACUUCGGGAAACCGGAGCUAAUACCGGAUAAUAUUUUGAACCGCAUGGUUCAAAAGUGAAAGACGGUCUUGCUGUCACUUAUAGAUGGAUCCGCGCUGCAUUAGCUAGUUGGUAAGGUAACGGCGUACCAAGGCAACGAUGCAUAGCCGACCUGAGAGGAUGAUCGGCCACACUGGAACUGAGACACGGUCCAGACUCCUACGGGAGGCAGCAGUAGGGAAUCUUCCGCAAUGGGCGAAAGCCUGACGGAGCAACGCCGCGUGAGUGAUGAAGGUCUUCGGAUCGUAAAACUCUGUUAUUAGGGAAGAACAUAUGUGUAAGUAACUGUGCACAUCUUGACGGUACCUAAUCAGAAAGCCACGGCUAACUACGUG
This 497-nucleotide ribosomal RNA is filed under the name uncultured bacterium. Its description in RNAcentral is "partial 16S ribosomal RNA". It matches the Rfam family "Bacterial small subunit ribosomal RNA", at positions 28 to 507 of the family's 1533-position model. The record is from RNAcentral.